This 482-nucleotide ribosomal RNA is filed under the name uncultured bacterium. RNAcentral describes it as "partial 16S ribosomal RNA". It matches the Rfam family "Bacterial small subunit ribosomal RNA", at positions 30 to 507 of the family's 1533-position model. The record is from RNAcentral.
AUUGAACGCUGGCGGCAUGCCUUACACAUGCAAGUCGAACGGUAACAGGUCUUCGGAUGCUGACGAGUGGCGAACGGGUGAGUAAUACAUCGGAACGUGCCCAGACGUGGGGGAUAACGAGGCGAAAGCUUUGCUAAUACCGCAUACGAUCUAAGGAUGAAAGCAGGGGACCGCAAGGCCUUGCGCGUUUGGAGCGGCCGAUGGCAGAUUAGGUAGUUGGUGGGAUAAAAGCUUACCAAGCCGACGAUCUGUAGCUGGUCUGAGAGGACGACCAGCCGCACUGGGACUGAGACACGGCCCAGACUCCUACGGGAGGCAGCAGUGGGGAAUUUUGGACAAUGGGCGAAAGCCUGAUCCAGCAAUGCCGCGUGCAGGAUGAAGGCCUUCGGGUUGUAAACUGCUUUUGUACGGAACGAAAAGGCUCUGGCUAAUACCUGGGGCACAUGACGGUACCGUAAGAAUAAGCACCGGCUAACUACGUG